CCCCACCGUGUUCCCGAUCGAAGAGAGAUCUUCGAGGGGGACAGUCACGGUUACGCACACGGUUGGCAAUUUUAUUAGCUUAUGUUUAAGUUCUCUAAUACCGGAUGUUAACAAAAUUAUUCCAAGUUGCCACAUAACUGCGGGCACGGCUUUCCGAAAGAUUAAACCCUGCAGGGGUGCUCCAACUAGUCCAUCACAAACGUACACAAGCCGCAAAGGCAUCCUCUAUCACGAAUCUCGUGAUCUCGUCGGAUUCCUUAGAGGAAAACCUGAACUCUGGGGGAAACCAAAGUUUCACUGGGAUUCCUAUACGCAAGAUAUACCGCUAAGGUAAGACAAGGCUAGCAGGACCUCCCGACGUGUCGACGACCCCGAUAAGAGCCGCGUAUCUCAGUCUUAGGACACGCCGGAUGAGCACAGCGUACAGUGGCCUGAUAGACAUCUCCUGAGUUGCCCCGGGUUGGCCCCGCACACGACUCUAGUUUGGACCAACACUCAUGAGGAGCACUGGCCCGGGUUGUUGAUAAAAAUCCUCGGGGCAACUAUUCCCUAUGCAGUUUAUUAUUAAGUGAUUAGCAAAUUAACACCAAUGUUGGGUCCUGCCGGACAAGUCUUAGCAC
RNAcentral lists this long non-coding RNA (620 nucleotides) under Hordeum vulgare. Its description in RNAcentral is "long non-coding RNA (HVUL_LNC003122)". The record is from RNAcentral. Lineage: Eukaryota; Viridiplantae; Streptophyta; Magnoliopsida; Poales; Poaceae.